GGUCUACCCAUUGGUCAGGCUUAAUUGUCUGUACUGGUGAGAUAAAUCUCUACCUUCUGAGGAACUUUCAUGUCAUUAAUUUGGUGUGAUUGGAAAUCAGGACUGUUACUUUGAAAUUAGAGUGUUUAAAGCAGGCUAACGUCUGAAUACAUUAGCAUGGAAUAAUGAAAUAGGACGGACUGAUCCUAUUUCGUUGGUUUCUAGGAUCACCGUAAUGAUUAAUAGGGAUAGUUGGG
Molecule: ribosomal RNA, 236 nt
Filed under: uncultured Glomus
Lineage: Eukaryota; Fungi; Glomeromycota; Glomeromycetes; Glomerales; Glomeraceae
Also listed under: 1 other name
Description: partial 18S ribosomal RNA
Rfam family: Eukaryotic small subunit ribosomal RNA (bases 43-236)
Source: RNAcentral